Mus musculus (house mouse) is the source of this 983-nucleotide long non-coding RNA. RefSeq annotates it as predicted gene, 33577. The record is from RefSeq and is a predicted model, not a curated record. NCBI's taxonomy places the organism in Eukaryota, Metazoa, Chordata, Mammalia, Rodentia, Muridae. The transcript is spliced from 4 exons.
UAUAGCAUGGAGUACCGAAUUGCACUCGAUAAUUACAUGGGAGCUUCAGUGUGGGGAAUAAAGAGUUACCAAAAUAACACAUUGUUUCUGACAGAAUGGGAGGAAAGUGUAGUUCUGAUUCCAGCAGGAGCAGCUGCCUGCCAUGAGCCUAAGGUCCAGCCUGCUACUGUGCGCACAGAUGUGAAACAGCUCAAGACUCUAAGAAGCAGAGUCCUGUGGGUGGAACAUGCCUUUCUCUGAGUAAUAAGAUACACAGGCCCUCAUAACUACGUGUCCUGCUGUGUGUGGAGUGUGACUAGGUCCAAGAUGAGUCAGUAUUGGUCGCAAUUCAGGUCAGUAGUGUCAGGAUAGCAAACAGCAGAGGUGACACAAUCCAACAUAAACAGCCAGGCCUCUGAUGAAUUGGCAUGAAUCAGCGGGAUUGACCAGAAUCAGCUGGAAUGAUGCCAGGAGUUCUCUGCAAUACCUCUCUCAAUGGAGCAAAGUCUCCAGUUGAUGAACUGCUGCCUGUGGAAGAGGAAAUAAAACUCACAGCUACUGUUCCCAGAACGAGGCACUGUCUGCUUCCCACCACGAUGAUAAUGGACCAACCCUCUAAAACUGUGAGCAAGCCUCCGGUUAAAUGCUUUUCCUGUUAAGAGUUGCCUCAGUCAUGGGGUCUCCUCACAGCAACAGAACAGAAACUAAGACAGAUCAUUUUUUUUCACCUAUGUUUGGAACUUAGCUAUUUAAGACACGAUAUAUAUGUUUUCAUGUGUGUCCCCAUCUGCUUGUGAUGACGUCAAUACAUCUCCUAUAUCAGACUAGUAGAUCACACCCCACGAUGUCACCUUGUGGUUUUAAGACAGUUAAUUUACAUAAUAUACCAACUGGGUCUUGCAGAUUCUUCUGCAGCCAUGAACCUUUAACACUGUGGCAAAAAUAAGUGGCUCUUUCUUUUUGGAUUUCUUCCUGACCACCCCAGAUUCUUACAAAAACAAAUA